AUUGAACGCUGGCGGCAGGCCUAACACAUGCAAGUCGAACGAGUGGCGAACGGGUGAGUACUACGUGGGAACCUGCCCUCCUUUUUGGGCUAAGCCUUGGAAACGGGGUCUAAUACCGAAUAUGUGAGGGUUGGCCUCGCGCCUAUCAGCUUGGUGGUGGGGUAAUGGCUCACCUAGGCGACGAUCCCUAGCUGGUCUGAGAGGAUGAUCAGCCACACUGGGACUGAGACACGGCCCAGACUCCUACGGGAGGCAGCAGUGGGGAAUAUUGCACAAUGGGCGCAAGCCUGAUGCAGCCAUGCCGCGUGUAUGAAGAAGGCCCUAGGGUUGUAAAGUACUUUCAGUCGGGAGGCGUUACCGACAGAAGAAGCACCGGCUAACUCCGUGCCAGCAGCCGCGGUAAUUC
This 406-nucleotide ribosomal RNA is filed under the name uncultured bacterium. RNAcentral describes it as "partial 16S ribosomal RNA". It matches the Rfam family "Bacterial small subunit ribosomal RNA", at positions 30 to 526 of the family's 1533-position model. The record is from RNAcentral.